CGCGCGGUAGAGCAGCCAGGUAGCUCGUCGGGCUCAUAACCCGGAGGUCGCAGGUUCGAAUCCUGCCCGCGCUA
Molecule: transfer RNA, 74 nt
Filed under: Planctomycetota bacterium
Lineage: Bacteria; Pseudomonadati; Planctomycetota
Description: Planctomycetes bacterium (subsurface metagenome) tRNA-Met
Rfam family: tRNA
About the family: Transfer RNA (tRNA) molecules are approximately 80 nucleotides in length. Their secondary structure includes four short double-helical elements and three loops (D, anti-codon, and T loops). Further hydrogen bonds mediate the characteristic L-shaped molecular structure. tRNAs have two regions of fundamental functional importance: the anti-codon, which is responsible for specific mRNA codon recognition, and the 3' end, to which the tRNAs corresponding amino acid is attached (by aminoacyl-tRNA synthetases). tRNAs cope with the degeneracy of the genetic code in two manners: having more than one tRNA (with a specific anti-codon) for a particular amino acid; and 'wobble' base-pairing, i.e. permitting non-standard base-pairing at the 3rd anti-codon position.
Source: RNAcentral